RNAcentral lists this ribosomal RNA (84 nucleotides) under Pogona vitticeps (central bearded dragon). The record is from RNAcentral. Lineage: Eukaryota; Metazoa; Chordata; Lepidosauria; Squamata; Agamidae.
UUCAUCUACCUUACUGUCUGGAACACACCCAGUCUCAUCUAGUAUUGGAAGCUAAGCGGGGUUGGGCCUGGUUAGUGGAUGGAA